RNAcentral lists this ribosomal RNA (449 nucleotides) under uncultured bacterium. Its description in RNAcentral is "partial 16S ribosomal RNA". It matches the Rfam family "Bacterial small subunit ribosomal RNA", at positions 29 to 523 of the family's 1533-position model. The record is from RNAcentral.
AACGAACGCUGGCGGCAUGCCUAAUACAUGCAAGUCGAACGAGAUCUUCGGAUCUAGUGGCGCACGGGUGCGUAACGCGUGGGAAUCUACCCUUGGGUUCGGAAUAACUGUUAGAAAUGACUGCUAAUACCGGAUGAUGACGUAAGUCAAAAGAUUUAUCGCCCAAGGAUGAGCCCGCGUAGGAUUAGCUAGUUGGUGAGGUAAAAGCUCACCAAGGCGACGAUCCUUAGCUGGUCUGAGAGGAUGAUCAGCCACACUGGGACUGAGACACGGCCCAGACUCCUACGGGAGGCAGCAGUAGGGAAUAUUGGACAAUGGGGGCAACCCUGAUCCAGCAAUGCCGCGUGAGUGAUGAAGGCCUUAGGGUUGUAAAGCUCUUUUACCCGAGAUGAUAAUGACAGUAUCGGGAGAAUAAGCUCCGGCUAACUCCGUGCCAGCAGCCGCAGUAA